This 228-nucleotide ribosomal RNA is filed under the name Triticum aestivum (bread wheat). RNAcentral describes it as "partial small subunit ribosomal RNA". Lineage: Eukaryota; Viridiplantae; Streptophyta; Magnoliopsida; Poales; Poaceae. The record is from RNAcentral.
AUGAAAAUCAUAGCAUGGAACUGCCGGGGCCUUGGGAAUGCCCCGACAGUUCGAGCUUUGCUGGAUGUCCAGCAAAGAUAUCUCCCCGAUGUGAUGUUCUUGUCGGAGAAUCACCUCGAUCGCUAUCCGGCUGAGGGUUUACGUAGAAGAUUGAAGAUGGAUCAAAAGUUUGUUUGCACAAGUGAUGGAAGGAAAGGAGGGUUGAUGCUUCUCUGGAAUAAUAAUGUA